CACACACACACACACACUGCACACACACACACACACACUGCACACACACACCGGCCACAGACUUCCUUCGGGUCUUCCAACCCAUCUUUAUAUCUAAACAUAGCGAAUAAGCAUACUACUGAACGCCCGCUGUUCUGAUAUACGAUGCCAGGUGAAGCAAAAGGACCUGAGUAGGCAGGAACGGCACGUCAGACUUGUUGUCGGUCGUGUCGUCAAACCGCAGAGCGGCAAAAGGCAUGUUGUCGGAUCCCUGUUGAGGCUGUCUGCCGGCGAGAGAGGGGUGAGCAAAAGAAGGAACGGCCAGGGAGAUAUUGGUCACGUGGUCGACCCGAAAAAACACAAGAGUAGGGACAGCUGCUGUGCAUUCUUAGAAGAGGUCGGGCCGUCGGGGAAGGGUGAAACACGGCGUGGUGUGUAGCUCCCACGCUGCCACUGGUCGACCUCACCUCCGUCUGCCCCCUGAUGCCAGGACCUCUGUGGGGCGUGGGGGGGGGGGGGGGGGGGGGGGACGACGACACACACAAGGGCUGCUGCUGCUAGAGCAGUGGUGAGCCCUGGGCUUCCUUAUCACGAGCUUGUCGGCAAGUCUCUGAUGCCUUUUCUUUUUUGGGAUGUCCCUAUUUAAUUGAUUUUGUAUUGAUUUAAUUAGGUUACUUUUUGCAUGCAGUGCAUUAGAGUGCAGGGCCUGACACUGAAUUUGUAUCGGUCUAAGCAGGGUAUCAGUCUUUAAGGUUAACAGUCUAAGGGGUUUCAGUCUUUAAGGGUAUCAGUCUAAGGGUUUCAGUCUUUAAGGGUAUCAGUCUAAGGGUUUCAGUCUUGGCUGCCUUCUGAGGGCCAAGUGGGCCCUGUCAUAGUAUCACGCUAAAAACAUUGUGACGUGAGCGGAUCAACGCGAUCGCUUUUCAUGCAAUUGAAUGAAGCAAGCAAUCUAUAUAUUCCUCAUUUGACCAAGCAGUGGUCAGCUAUUAAUUUGUCAAUCUAUUAAUUGAUUCAGCUAUUCUUGUGACAUUGGCUAAUGAGACGGGGUCUUCCCCUACUGCCCAACUUACUCUGACUACACCCCCCCCCCCGCCCCCCAGUGUCUGGUCCGUCUAAUUUCAUCAGCAGCAAGCCAGCAGUCCCUGUUUAAAGUCAUCAAAGGAGUGAGUGUGUGUGUGUGUGUGUGUGUGUGUGUGUGUGUGUGUGUGUGUGUGUGUGUGUGUGUGUGUGUGUGUGUGUGUGUGUGUGUGUGUGUGUGUGUGUGUGUGUGUGUGUGUGUGUGUGUGUGUGUGUGUCCCACUGAGAACAGAGAGGGCAGUGUGUCUGCCCCCCCCGAGGCCCAUCGGGGCACCCACCCACCCAACCACUCGUCCAUCUUUCCCAGUCCACCCAAUCCACAACAGCCCCCCGCUGACAUCAUCACCUCAUCCCGUGACCCCUGGCUCCCCUAGUGUUUGACCCCUGGUGGUGACAGUGGAGCCACUGUGUGCCCUGGCCCAACAUAGCAGGGGGCGCUGGCAGAGGUCAUAGUGUGGCAUCUCCUGCCCCCCACCCCCCUUUUUUUUUCCCACCCAGGGUGUGUGUGGUUGAUGUCAAAAACUAGGUCCUAUAAUUUGAGCUGUUUUUCGUUUGGUUUCCCAGUAUAAUAGAGAUGAAGGUUUAACUCGGCGCGUCAUGCAAAAAGUCAUUUUAUUGAAUUUCACCUCAGUGACUGUGACUGUGUUUGUGCCUUGUGCAUGUGAAUGGAAUGGAUCCCUCAAUCUGCCCGGCUGCUCUUCUAAUCAAUUACAUCGGAUGCUGACACAUUGUCUGUCUAGACGGCAUGUAAUCAAAAAUCCCAGUUGUUGAUCAUGAGCAACUUUUCGUUGAGUGUGUGUGUGUGUGUGUGUGUGUGUGUGUGUGUGUGUGUGUGUGUGUGUGUGUGUGUGUGUGUGUGUGUGUGUGUGUGUGUGUGUGUGUGUGUGUGUGUGUGUGUGUGUGUGUGUGUACGUGUUUGGGUGUGUAACUGUUUUUAUUACAUCUUUGUAUACACAGCCACAUGCACUCGAAACCUCUUUUAUCACUCAAUUUUAUGUAUUCCAA
Long non-coding RNA from Gadus macrocephalus (Pacific cod), 2061 nucleotides. RefSeq lists it as uncharacterized. NCBI's taxonomy places the organism in Eukaryota, Metazoa, Chordata, Actinopteri, Gadiformes, Gadidae. The transcript has 2 exons. The record is from RefSeq and is a predicted model, not a curated record.